Non-coding RNA from Carica papaya (papaya), 1417 nucleotides. The record is from RefSeq and is a predicted model, not a curated record. Lineage: Eukaryota; Viridiplantae; Streptophyta; Magnoliopsida; Brassicales; Caricaceae.
AAAAAUUCUAAACACCAAUAAAAUUUUCAAGGUCAAUGGUCAUCAAUUGAAACAUUUUUAUGAUGGAUUCCCUACACAAUAUGUUGAAGAAAUCACCUUGAGAAGUCCUAAAGAAGGCACCUGAAGGAAUUGACCAUGUCUAGCCUAGGAUGAUAAACAAGAGCCCUAAAUGGGAGGCAACCCAUUUAGUUAUUUUUUUGUUUACUUUAUUCUCAGGAUUCUUAAAUUAGUUGGAAUUUUUAUUUUUAUUUUUUUAUUAUUUGUUUUUCUAUCAUCUUCAUUUUUUUAUCAACUGGAAAUUUUUCUGAUAAUUUGCAGCUCUUUAAUGGAGGGGCACGUACAAAUUUAUUUUUUGGGUUUAAAUUUGGGACUUUUGCACAAACCUUACCCAAGGCUUAUGCCACGGCCCCUAAACACCCAAAUUUUUUAUUUUGCCCUAGAACCUCAAAGGAUUAAAUUUCCUUUUACUUUUCUCUUCCUUUUGUGCCGACACCCACUUUCCUCUUCUCCCAAAUCGGCUUCUCACCUCCCUCCUCCCACGUCUAACCCACUGCAAAGUAAGCCUCCUCUAUUUCAACCCAUCGCAAAGCAAGUCAAAUAAGAGGGAAGAGAGCUUUCACCAAGUGCACUUGAUCUAAAAACAGAUGGCUAUGACUCACAGAUGGGGCUAAAGAAAAUCAACAAAUUGCCUCCAGCAGAAGUCGAACCACCAUAGGCCGCACCAAAAGAAUUGAAUCAACCUUACAAUGCGGAUGACUCAACGAUGGCCGACCAACACCGCAGCUCCGUAACUAAUAUGCCUGACUCUCUAACCCGAGCGCAAGGCGAGCAAAACCCGGAGAUGAGUUGCGCAAGGGAAGACCCGGACUCACAGUAGCCCCAGACGAACAGACCUAUGAGCGAAAGCAUGGAGACCAGGUGGGCACAAAAGAGAGAAAGAGUCAAAAAAGGUUUUCCCCAUCAGGACCAAUUGUACCUAGAAACGUGAGGGCAUUUGACAAACGAAAAAAAGGCGGGCGACCUAUUGACAAUGCAAAAUCUACAUCAAUUUCUGUCCCACAACAAUCCACCCUACCUUUGGAAGUAAUAUUAUAGUAAAUUCAAAAGAUGGAUGAAUGCCUAACUAGCUUAGAGACGUUGGGCCUUCGUAUGGUAGAAAAAUUGGACCGGAUAUAAGUACUUAGCAAACCAGUAUUGAGAGCACUCCAAGACACGUAAUCAAGGCAGUUGACAUGUUCCCUCACUUUUUUUAUUUACUUAAUCAUCAUUUAUAACACAUCGGGAUAAUGUGUGGUUUAAGCAUGGGGAAGGAGGGGUAUGCUAUAUUUUGGGCAGUUCCCUUAGUAUUUUACUUUAUUAUUUCUACUGCAUUUUCCCUUUUUAUGAUACUUAUUAAUGAACAUUUUGACUUUGCCCA